This 492-nucleotide ribosomal RNA is filed under the name uncultured bacterium. Its description in RNAcentral is "partial 16S ribosomal RNA". It matches the Rfam family "Bacterial small subunit ribosomal RNA", at positions 29 to 507 of the family's 1533-position model. The record is from RNAcentral.
AGUGAACGCUGGCGGUAGGCCUAACACAUGCAAGUCGAACGGAAGCACAGUAAGAGCUUGCUCUUACGGGUGGCGAGUGGCGGACGGGUGAGGCAUACAUCGGAUUCUACUUUUUCGUGGGGGAUAACGUAGGGACACUUACGCUACUACCGCAUACGACCUACGGGUGAAAGCAGGGGAUCUUCGGACCUUGCGCGAUACAAUGAGCCGAUGUCGGAUUAGCUAGUUGGCGGGGUAAAGGCACACCAAGGCGACGAUCCGUAGCUGGUCUGAGAGGAUGAUCAGCCACACUGGAACUGAGACACGGUCCAGACUCCUACGGGAGGCAGCAGUGGGGAAUAUUGGACAAUGGGCGAAAGCCUGAUGCAGCCAUGCCGCGUGAGUGAAGAAGGCCUUCGGGUCGUAAAACCCUUUUAUUGGGGAAGAAAAGAAGCGUGAUAAUCUCCCGCUGUUCUGACGGUACCCAAAGAAAAAGCAACGGCUAACUUCGUG